Molecule: small RNA, 1496 nt
Filed under: Pan troglodytes (chimpanzee)
Lineage: Eukaryota; Metazoa; Chordata; Mammalia; Primates; Hominidae
Description: sense overlapping
Source: RNAcentral
GAGUAGUGGUAUUCAAAGUAGCAGGUCAAUGAACUGUUUGUACCUAUAUACUAUGAGAAAAGGAACCUAUACUGGACUUGUUUUAAGGAAGAAACUAUAAAUUUUUUUCACCCCAUGAAUUUUUAAAGAACUAUUCUAAACAUUUGUUGAAAGAAACUAACAAGAGAUCUGAGAAUAAAAUACCUGGGAAUAAAUUUAACCAAGAGGUGAAAGACCUGGAUACUGAAAACUACAAAAAAUUGCUGGCAGAAGUUAAAGAGGAACUAAUUAAAUGAACUUUGUUACUUCACUUCACUAAUGUGUCAAAUUGAAGAACUCCUUUUAUCAUGUCUUGUAAAACAGGUCUGGUGUUGACAAAAAUACCUCAGCUCUUUUUUGUUUGGGAAAGUCUUUAUUUCUUCUUCAUGUUUGAAUGAUAAUUUUGCUGAACAUAUUCUAGACUCCUUCAGAAAUGCAACACAGAGGACUCUGUAGCCCAACGCAUAAUCUACACUCCAAACUGAAGUUUCUCAUUCAACCUUUGUCUGCUUUACCAUCCUGAUGAGCUUGCCUUCACAUUAACUCAAUGACCCAUGUUGCCCUGUUCACCGAAAUCCUGAAACCAACACUGAGGUAGUGCUGGAGCCUGGCUGUGGCUCUGCCCAACUUUCCUGAGCCGCCUCCACUCCUUGCUACUACUGGUCACAGUGGAGAGAUACAUAGAGGACAACAGGCAAGGAAGAAAGAGAGCUGAAGAUUAUCAUUAUUUCCUCACUCUUUCCACCAAAGAUAUUAUCUCCUGGUCCUGAAAUAGUAAGACAGCCCCAUUCUAAGGCAGGAUGCUUGGCAGUAGCCCUCUCCCCGUGACAGAUACAGAAAGGUGAUAGACACUUUACAAACAUGCUUCUUAAUAAGAAAAAUACUACUGUCACCAAAAAUAAAUAAAUUGUAUACACAGCUUUGGGAUCAAGCUGCUCCUUGACACCCUCCUGAGAUACCAGACAAUAAAAAAUGUAGAUUUUAAAAAGUAACCAUCACCUUAUGCUUUAUAAUAAGCCACAAUUUUGUGCUGUUCUUAUUCUAUUAAAGACAAUCGCUACAAUAUAUAAACAUGGUUAGAAACCAUGCAAGCAAGAAGAGCAUGUGGUGAAAUAUUUAAAGAAUUGAAAGAAAAAAAAAUCUACCUAGAAGUUUGUACCCAGUGAAAUUAUCCUCCAAAAGUGAAGGAAAAAUAAAGAUUUUCUCAGAAAAAAGAAUUGAUGUAGACCUACCUUGCAAAGAAACAUUACAAGAAGUUCUUCAGAGAGGAGGAAAAUGGUGUAGGUCAGAAACUUGGGUCUGCAUAAGCAACAGGGAGCAUCAGGAAAGAAGUUAGGUUGUCAAUAAAAGGGCCACGAGAGAGAGAGAAGAGAACUUGAAGAGACAAUAAAGGACACAAUUUGCUGCUUUCUGAAUCACUGAUGAAUCUGAGUCAGUUAAGGUAUAAAUGCUUCAAAAGUAAAUAGUAUGAAUGGCAA